This 1763-nucleotide ribosomal RNA is filed under the name Clostridioides difficile. RNAcentral describes it as "partial 23S ribosomal RNA". It matches the Rfam family "Bacterial large subunit ribosomal RNA", at positions 1 to 1848 of the family's 2925-position model. The record is from RNAcentral. Lineage: Bacteria; Bacillati; Bacillota; Clostridia; Peptostreptococcales; Peptostreptococcaceae.
GGUCAAGCUAGAAAGAGCGCAAGGGGAAUGCCUUGGCAUCAGGAGCCGACGAAGGACGUGACAAGCUGCGAUAAGCUGCGGUGAGUUGCACAUAAGCUUUGACCCGCAGAUUUCCGAAUGGGGAAACCCGGCAGAGCAAUACUCUGUCAGCGUGCGUUGAAUCAAAUAGGCGUACGCGGGGAACCGCCUGAACUGAAACAUCUAAGUAGGGCGAGGAAGAGAAAUCAACCGAGAUUCCGCUAGUAGUGGCGAGCGAACGCGGAAGAGGGCAAACCGGAGGAUUUAUCCUCCGGGGUUGUGGACAGUUUUUUAGCAACUGGAACUAGGAGAACGGUAUGGGAAGGCCGGCCAUAGCGGGUGAUAGCCCCGUAUCCGAAAGGGAAGGUUGUGCGACUGGAUCCAGAGUACCGCCGGACACGUGAAACCCGGUGGGAAGCUGGGGGGACCACCCUCCAACCCUAAAUACUACCUGAUGACCGAUAGAGGAGCAGUACCGUGAGGGAAAGGUGAAAAGGACCCCGGGAGGGGAGUGAAAGAGAACCUGAAACCUUGUGCUUACAAGCACUCAAAGCCCGUUAAAGGGUGAUGAGGUACCUUUUGUAGAAUGGUCCGGCGAGUUAUUGUUACUGGCAAGCUUAAGGCAUUCAGUGCCGGAGGCGCAGGGAGACCGAGUCUGAAUAGGGCGUAUGAAGUCAGUGGCAAUAGACCCGAAACCGGGUGACCUAUCCAUGGGCAGGUUGAAGUGGGGGUAAAACCCCAUGGAGGACCGAACGCACGCCCGUUGCAAUGGUCGGCGAUGACCUGUGGAUAGCGGUGAAAUUCCAAUCGAACUCGGAGAUAGCUGGUUCUCCCCGAAAUAGCUUUAGGGCUAGCGUUGGCUUAGAUUACCGGAGGUAAAGCACUGAAUGGGCUAGGGGCCGAUAAGGUUACUGAACCCUAUCAAACUCUGAAUGCCGGAUAAUUGAUGGCCAGCAGUCAGUCUACGUGAGAUAAGUCUCGUGGACAAAAGGGAAACAGCCCAGACCCACAGCUAAGGUCCCAAAGAUACGCUAAGUGGAAAACGAUGUGGAGUUGCGAAAACAACCAGGAUGUUGGCUUAGAAGCAGCCACUCAUUAAAAGAGUGCGUAAUAGCUCACUGGUCGAGUGACUCUGCGCGGAAAAUAUAACGGGGCUAAGCGUAACACCGAAGCUUGGGCUGCACAGCAAUGUGCGGGGUAGGGGAGCGUCGAAUAUGGGGUGAAGUCGCAGCGGAAGCAGCGGUGGACUGUAUUCGAGUGAGAAUGCCGGAAUGAGUAGCGAGAAUUAUGUGGGAAUCAUAAUGGCCGAAAAUCUAAGGUUUCCUGGGGAAGGUUCGUCCGCCCAGGGUAAGCCGGGAGCUAAGGCGAGGCCGGAAGGCGUAGUCGAUGCACAUACGGUUGAAAUUCCGUAGCCACCGAACCUUAAGUACACUGACACAUGGAGAUAGCGGGACCCGGGCGUUGGUUGACCCGGGCGUAAGGGACCGAACUUUAGUAGGGAAGUCCGCGAUGCUCUGUGGCGAGAAAAGGUGUAUGGUAUGCUAAGGUGCCCGUACCGCAAACCGACACAGGUAGAUGAGGAGAGAAUCCUAAGGCCAACGGGAGAAGGGUUGUUAAGGAACUCGGCAAAAUGACCCCGUAACUUCGGGAUAAGGGGAGCCUCCUACGGGAGGCCGCAGCGAAUAGGCCCAAGCGACUGUUUACCAAAAACACAGGUCUCUGCUAAAUCGAAAGAUGACGUAUAG